Long non-coding RNA from Crotalus tigris (Tiger rattlesnake), 1110 nucleotides. RefSeq lists it as uncharacterized. The record is from RefSeq and is a predicted model, not a curated record. The transcript is spliced from 3 exons. NCBI's taxonomy places the organism in Eukaryota, Metazoa, Chordata, Lepidosauria, Squamata, Viperidae.
UUCUACAAUCAGCUUCUUUUUAAGGAUUCUGAUAAAAGUCCAUCAUUUGGAUAAGCACUAAAUGUCAGCAAAGAGAUACAAAAAUAGGAUUUUGUAACCUGGAUCUGGUGGUCUUUCCCUGGCUCACCCUGCUAUUUGAAGAAGCCUGCUGAAAACUUACAACUGAUCGAAAAUGCUGGAAAGAAAAGAGAGACAUAACAUUAUUGCAGUGAAUAGCACAGUCUUUGACAGAACUGGGACUAUUAUUUUAUAUCUUCCUGAGGAUGUCACCGCAGGAAAUCUCUGUGCCUCCAGUGCAGUCAAUUCUAUAUUUGCAGAUUGAGAUGUGUUUGAACCAGGAACUAAGGAACUAAGAGUCCAUAUUUGAAGAUUUUAUACCAAGACAACUUAAGAACCACUUUUUAUCCUGAGAGGUCUUUGGUUACAGUUGGACCUAGAUUCAGUGUCUGAAAAAAAAAUUGAGCUUGGAGGAAAAGCUAUGUCUGGUGUUGAGGGUUGAUGGUAAUUAGUUUUAACUCAUGGAUUCUAAAGAAAACGGUGCUGAGAAAGUCAUUGGUCAGUUAUGACUAGCAUCUUUGCCAUCUAUCGUUGGAUGUACAUUUUGACUUCAGUUUCCUUAUGGAAUACAAUUAAAAUGCUAUUUUUAUCCUUUUUAUAUAAUUGAAGGGAUUUGGCUUAUUUUCAGCAACAUUUUAAUUGCAUUUCUUGCAAGGCAUAUAUAAAAUGAGUUGGGGAAAAGUAAUGUUAUCUCUUAUUUACUUGGUAAACUUACACUUUGGGAUAAUCUCAAUUUGAAAAUGUUAGAUAACUUUUGUUAAAGGCUUGAGCAAAUGAAGGUAUUAAUGCUGUGGAUCAGCAUCUUGCUAAUCCAGUCUUCACAUUAUUUUCAUUAUUGUAAAAGGAAUCCAUAUUGCCCCAAAAAGUAAAUGGCAGUGGUACAAUAAAUUUAAAUAAUUCUGAUUUCAUUAUUUGAUCCAGAUGAAUUAUCUGCAUCUAAAACCCAUGGAGUAUUGUUUAUGUAAUAAUCUGUUUUAAUAAUUUUACAUCUACAUUACAAUUAGUAAAUAGCUAAAGAGCAUUAGUAAAGUAGAUAUUAAAUAUUUGCACAAA